GCCAGUCGAACGAGAGAAGAGAAGCUUGCUUUUCUGAUCUAGUGGCGGACGGGUGAGUAACACGUGGGCAAUCUGCCUUUCAGAGGGGGAUACCGAUUGGAAACGAUCGUUAAUACCGCAUAAUAUAAUUGAACCGCAUGAUUUGAUUAUCAAAGAUUUAUCGCUGAAAGAUGAGCUCGCGUCUGAUUAGCUAGUUGGUAAGGUAACGGCUUACCAAGGCGACGAGCAGGAGCCGGACUGAGAGGUUGAUC
RNAcentral lists this ribosomal RNA (251 nucleotides) under uncultured bacterium. RNAcentral describes it as "partial 16S ribosomal RNA". It matches the Rfam family "Bacterial small subunit ribosomal RNA", at positions 57 to 305 of the family's 1533-position model. The record is from RNAcentral.